RNAcentral lists this long non-coding RNA (360 nucleotides) under Brachypodium distachyon (stiff brome). Its description in RNAcentral is "long non-coding RNA (BDIS_LNC002400)". Lineage: Eukaryota; Viridiplantae; Streptophyta; Magnoliopsida; Poales; Poaceae. The record is from RNAcentral.
GGGCUACACAUUUUUAGCUUUAAGUCUUAUUUUUUUUAUUUGUAACUCCUAUUUGCAGAAACCAAAAAAGAAAAAACUUAUCAGAUCUGCAGCCACGUUGACAGUGUUGGGGGAUAGUAGGGCUACAAACUUACAAGAGUUUUAGUUCUAUAAGUUUUAGUUUAUGUAGCUUCGAAUUUGCAGAAACUAAAAAGACAAAAAAAACAGAACUCAUCGGAUCUACAGAGUUGGGGCAGCCUUCGCUGAAAGGGGCUGCAAUUUUUACCUUUUACUCUUAAGUUUUUAAUUUGUACAGUCUAUUUACAGAAACUAAAAAGGAAUAAAUCACAAAAUCUGCAGCGACAUUGACUCAGGGAUCGC